Molecule: ribosomal RNA, 576 nt
Filed under: uncultured eukaryote
Lineage: Eukaryota
Description: bacterial SSU rRNA
Rfam family: Eukaryotic small subunit ribosomal RNA
Source: RNAcentral
UAAAAACCCCGACUUCGGAAGGGGUGUAUUUAUUAGAUACAAAACCAAUGCCCUUCGGGGCUCUUUGGUGAUUCAUGAUAACUAUACGAAUCGCACGGCCUUGCGCCGGCGAUGGUUCAUUCAAAUUUCUUCCCUAUCAACUUUCGAUGUUUGGGUAUUGGCCAAACAUGGUUGCAACGGGUAACGGAGGGUUAGGGCUCGACCCCGGAGAAGGAGCCUGAGAAACGGCUACUACAUCCAAGGAAGGCAGCAGGCGCGCAAAUUACCCAAUCCCGACUCGGGGAGGUAGUGACAAUAAAUACUGAUACAGGGCCCUUUCGGGCCUUGUAAUUGGAAUGAGUACAAUUUAAAUCCCUUAACGAGGAACAAUUGGAGGGCAAGUCUGGUGCCAGCAGCCGCGGUAAUUCCAGCUCCAAUAGCGUAUAUUAAAGUUGUUGUGGAAAAAAGCUCGAAGUUAAACCUAGGGCCUGGCUGGAUAGUCCGCCUCAACGCGAGAACUGGUAAAGACGGGCAUUUGCACAAGGGAAAACACAAACAAUUAAAGAUAAAUGCUUGUGUAACCGGACGAUCUCUUUG